GACGAACGCUGGCGGCGUGCUUAACACAUGCAAGUCGAGCGGGAAACUUCGGUUUCCAGCGGCGGACGGGUGAGUAACACGUGGGCAACCUGCCUCACAAUGAGGGAUAGCCUUCCGAAAGGAAGAUUAAUACCUCAUAAUACAAAGAAAACGCAUGUUUUCUUUGCCAAAGAAUUUCGUUGUGAGAUGGGCCCGCGGCGCAUUAGCUUGUUGGUGAGGUAACAGCUCACCAAGGCUUCGAUGCGUAGCCGACCUGAGAGGGUGAUCGGCCACAUUGGAACUGAGACACGGUCCAGACUCCUACGGGAGGCAGCAGUGGGGAAUAUUGCACAAUGGAGGAAACUCUGAUGCAGCAACGCCGCGUGAGUGAUGAAGGUCUUCGGAUUGUAAAGCUCUGUCUUCUGGGACGAUAAUGACGGUACCAGAGGAGGAAGCCACGGCUAACUACGUGCCAGCAGCCGCGGUAAUACGUAGGUGGCAAGCGUUGUCCGGAUUUACUGGGCGUAAAGGAUGUGUAGGCGGAUAUUUAAGUGAGAUGUGAAAUCCCCGGGCUUAACUUGGGGGCUGCAUUUCAAACUGGAUGUCUAGAGUGCAGGAGAGGAAAGCAGAAUUCCUAGUGUAGCGGUGAAAUGCGUAGAGAUUAGGAAGAAUACCAGUGGCGAAGGCGGCUUUCUGGACUGUAACUGACGCUGAGGCAUG
RNAcentral lists this ribosomal RNA (699 nucleotides) under uncultured Clostridium sp. RNAcentral's name for it is "bacterial SSU rRNA". It matches the Rfam family "Bacterial small subunit ribosomal RNA", at positions 28 to 755 of the family's 1533-position model. The record is from RNAcentral. Lineage: Bacteria; Bacillati; Bacillota; Clostridia; Eubacteriales; Clostridiaceae.